This 64-nucleotide transfer RNA is filed under the name Dipodomys ordii (Ord's kangaroo rat). It matches the Rfam family "tRNA". Rfam says of the family: Transfer RNA (tRNA) molecules are approximately 80 nucleotides in length. Their secondary structure includes four short double-helical elements and three loops (D, anti-codon, and T loops). The record is from Rfam by way of RNAcentral. Lineage: Eukaryota; Metazoa; Chordata; Mammalia; Rodentia; Heteromyidae.
GGGAAAGUGGCUCAAUGGUAGAGCACUUGCCUUUCAAGCAUGAGGUCCUGGAUUCGCUUCUUCA